Molecule: unclassified non-coding RNA, 413 nt
Filed under: soil metagenome
Description: partial contains 5.8S ribosomal RNA, internal transcribed spacer 2, and large subunit ribosomal RNA
Rfam family: 5.8S ribosomal RNA (bases 1-120)
Source: RNAcentral
GAUGAAGAACGCAGCGAAAUGCGAUAAGUAAUGUGAAUUGCAGAAUUCAGUGAAUCAUCGAAUCUUUGAACGCACCUUGCGCUCUUUGGUAUUCCGAAGAGCAUGCCUGUUUGAGUGUCAUGAAAAUAUCAACCUUGACUUGGGUUUUGUGCUCUAGUCUCGGCUUGGAAUUGGGUGCUUGCCGCUUUUACGAGCGGCUCACCUUAAAUGUAUUAGCUGGAUCUGUCUUUGAGACUUGGUUUGACUUGGCGUAAUAAGUAGUUCGCUAAGGACAUUCUUCGGAGUGGCCUCGUUUCUAGGACGCUUGUCCGCUUUCCAAUACAAGUUCCACCUCGUGGACAUGACUUUUUAUUAUCUGGCCUCAAAUCAGGUAGGACUACCCGCUGAACUUAAGCAUAUCAAUAAGCGGAGGA